UACAGAGGGUGCAAGCGUUAAUCGGAAUUACUGGGCGUAAAGCGUGCGUAGACGGUUGCGUAAGUCAGAUGUGAAAGCCCCCGGCUCAACUGGGGAGGGUCACGCGAUACUGAUCGACUCGAAGGCAGGAGAGGGAAGUGGAAUUCCCGGUGUAGUGGUGAAAUGCGUAGAUAUCGGGAGGAACACCAGUGGCGAAGGCGACUUCCUGGCCUGUUCUUGACGCUGAGGCGCGAAAGCUAGGGGAGCAAACGGG
Molecule: ribosomal RNA, 253 nt
Filed under: uncultured bacterium
Lineage: Bacteria
Description: partial 16S ribosomal RNA
Rfam family: Bacterial small subunit ribosomal RNA
Source: RNAcentral